AGCGAACGCUGGCGGCAGGCCUAACACAUGCCAGUCGAACGAACCUUUCGGGGUUAGUGGCGGACGGGUGAGUAACACGUGGGAACGUUCCUUUAGGUUCGGAAUAACUCAGGGAAACUUGUGCUAAUACCGAAUGUGCCCUUCGGGGGAAAGAUUAAUCGCCUUUAGAGCGGCCGGAGUCUGAUUAGCUAGUUGGUUGAUGUAAUGGCUCACCAAGGCGACGAUCAGUAGCUGGUCGGAGAGGAUGAUCAGCCACAUUGGGACUGAGACACGGACCAAACUCCUACGGGAGGAAGCAGUGGGGAAUCUUGCGCAAUGGGCGAAAGACGGACGCAGCCAGGCCGCGUGAAUGAUGAAGGUCUUAGGAUUGGAAAAUUCUUUCGACGGGGACGAUAAUGACGGUACCCGGAGAAGAAGCCCCGGCUAACUUCGUG
RNAcentral lists this ribosomal RNA (434 nucleotides) under uncultured bacterium. RNAcentral describes it as "partial 16S ribosomal RNA". It matches the Rfam family "Bacterial small subunit ribosomal RNA", at positions 29 to 507 of the family's 1533-position model. The record is from RNAcentral.